Molecule: long non-coding RNA, 879 nt
Organism: Nerophis lumbriciformis (worm pipefish)
Lineage: Eukaryota; Metazoa; Chordata; Actinopteri; Syngnathiformes; Syngnathidae
Source: RefSeq, a predicted model, not a curated record
UUUGUUAUCCUCUCAUUCAGGACAUGUUCACCUAUUGUAUUGGAAGCUCACUUGGAGGGGAACCACUGUCAAAGACAACACACAGACUUUUCCACACAGUCUGCACUUUUAAUAGUUGGAAUGGGAAGGGUGUGUGAAACAUCCAGUCAAAUGUUUCUGUGCACACGCUGACGGAUGAAUACUGCAUCCAACCGGGGGGAAAGAAAGCAUGAGGAGUGACCGUGUUUGGACCCAAAUGAGAUAUACCAAGGUGGCGACUUGUCCAGGGUGUACCCUGCCUUCCGCCCGAAUGCAGCCGAGAGGGACAAGCGGUACAAAAUGGAUGAGAUGGAUCUGAAAAACCUGCCAAGAAGCCUCGAAAAAUCAUGACAGCUCAUCUGCCCACAUUCAAGACAUCCCAAGACGUGUGCUUCCGUUCCAAAGUUCUUGUUGUCCCCGUCGUUCGGAUGGGCUGAUGGAAUUCCUGUGGUGACGGAAUUGGGACGGCUCCUUCAUGGCGAGCAGUCGAGCGACGACAAGACACAAACUGAUUAAUAAGUCAAGCGACGUGACAGAACAGGGAAGUCCCUCAUGUUGCCUAGAGGCGGGCGGACCACAUGGGUCCUUGGAGCAGAAAAGGUUUUCUCGAUCCUCAGUCCGAGUAAGAUACCGAACCCUCGGAUCCUCAGUGGAUGAAGGAGGUAACUUUGACCAACUCAGUGGUUCUUAAUUAUUUUCUGUCGCGCUCCCCCUAAAGGACAUAAUUACUUUCACGCCCUCCGAAGCUCCUCAGAGGGUCUCAUUACCCCCCUGAGGCCCUCCUUUCAGGACCAGUCACAUUUGAACCUGUAUGCUAUCGGGGAAUGGAUACCAGUACCAAUUUGACAUACUUUUGUGUGU